GCUCCGCGGCAUGUGGGAUCUUCCUGGACCAGGGCAUGAACCCGUGUGCCCUGCAUCGGUAGGCGGACUCUCAACCCCUGCGCCACCAGGGAAGCCCGCAUGGACCAUUUUUAUCUCCAUAUGUGAUUACACUCUAGUGUUUGAAGACUCAAAUAGCUAUUUCCUUCAUUUCAAUAUCAGUAUGAAAAAUCAUCUGUCACAUCUAUUAAUAGAAUGAAAAUCUGAACUCAGGCCUCUGGUAUGUUUAAAAUAAGAACAAGAAAUAAAUUCACAUACUCUCUAUGACUGUAUAAAUUGCCAUAUUUAAUCUAACCAGGGCAGGUGGCUUGUCAAAGUUCAUACAAUGUGACCCAAAUUGCCUUUAAAGGUCCAGGAGAAAGCAGAUAGGUGGUAAUCAUAGUUCUGAUUCUCUUAAACUUUUUACAGAGAACACCUCUGAAGAUGUACGGAUCUGCCAAGUAAAAGAAAUGUCCACCAUGCUUCUAGAGUGACAUCAAGGUACCUCUGACAGGUUACUGCACUUUCUGAGCCUAUGGAAGAAGUAGUGCACUAAGUUUAGGCCACUAAGUUUAGGCCAGAGCAAAAAGAUGAAGUUAUUUCUUAUUUUUAAGUUAGGUGGCAACUGUCAAGCUGCAUUCACAAGCCAGAGUAGGUUUGGAGGCAGCCAGGCAUGUGGACCCUAGAGUCUUCAGUAAUUUUUCUGGCCCAGCUUUGCCCCAGUCAUACCAUUGUAAGGCCAGCACAGCCUCCCUCCCAGCAUCUGGGGAAGUCAGUAUUUUCCCCUUUUGAGAAAAGUGCAGAAGAUUAAUUUUGGCCACAUUGGAUGCCCAUUAAAAUGCCUUGCCUCCUACCUGUUUAGUACUAGUAUGCAGGAAACAGACCCAGGAUAUGAGUAGUAAUUUAACCUGAGGUCUUAAAUAUUAGAAUACUUUGAAAAAUACUUUGGCAAAAAGCUCUAAGUUUCAAAGCGUGCUUUAAUUAAAAUCUGUGUGCUUUAAAAUGAAGAAACAUGCUACUUCCUAUCUGGAAGGAAUGUGAAAAUCAAGGAAGAGCUCCAUCAUAUUUACAGAAAGGGAGUUAUUUUAAGCACACAGUUACAAUACCAAUAUAUUUGGGGGAAAAAAACCGGUGAAAUCAAAAUGAAUUCUAAUAUCUAAGAUGAAUGGAAAUUUUUCUAAUGUUUUCUCUAGGCAAGUGUUGAUUUGCUUGUACUUUGUUAUUAAGAUAAUACCCUGCUAGAAGAUUGACUUUGUGCUGCUAGCAAUAGUGUAUGUAUUUAUAUCCUAAUUAUUCAUCAUAAGGUACAUAUUUCGAUGUGUUAAAUGAGUUCCAAAUGAGUGUUAAGUUGUGUUUUAAAAUGGGUAACUGUAAUUAUGCCUGGUCUCUUUGCUUUAAAGUGAUUUGUGUUUGAACAUAAUUCAGUGUUGUAAUGGGAUUAGAAGUAAUAAUUUUGUGGGUACUUGUAAUGAAAGGGCCUUGUCUAUACUAUAUGUGUCUAUUAUUUUCUAUAUUAGCAUGAAUUACACUUUUUAGGGUCAUUUUGGGAGACCAGUGAUUUAAUUUCAUUAACAUAUUAAUAUCACUUUAAACAUAUCUAUUAUUUUAAACAGGAGGCAAAUAUAUCCAGGAGAUAUAUUUCCUCAUUCUUAGAGGAAAUGUUGAGGUUAUAGCCCAUUUAUUAGGCAGUCCAGAAGCCCUUGAAAAGUAUUUAUAUCAUUUGAGGAAAAUACAGAGAGAACAAGUGUCCAGUAUUUUUAUGCUGCUUAGCUAGGACCACACCUUCUCUUCAGGCCUGCCCAUCUAAGUUUGUAUUCAAUGCUGUGAUUUACUUUAUCAAGCCCUCAUCAUCAUCAGUAUGUUUUGUCUUCUGUCUUAUUCCCUUGUUCUAGUCAGUAACUGAUAAAUUUAUUCACACUAAUGUACUAAUGACUAAUGUUAGCUUAAUAUUAAUUUGCCAAAGGAUAUCUGAAUUCUAGGCCUUAGGGAUGAACUUUAACUCAAAGUGUAAAUCUCUCACUUUUAAUGGAGGGAUUAAAGACACUGAAGCAGACUGGAAAGGAAGAUAUUUUGAAGAAAGUGAGUCUUACAGCAGUGCCUUUCAGGUUACAUAUAGAACUUAUUCUGUUAACCUGUAAUUCCAUGAAAAGGAGCCAUCUGCUCUAGGAACAACAGAUCAAAUUACCUUGGUCUGAAACUAUGCAUAAGUGGAACUCCUGUGCAACGUAAUUUUUCUGUCAUCUUUUUGUUUUUACUCCCAAAAGACUGUGAAAAUGUUGCACUUGGAAUAUAUUUAUGUCUAUAAUUUAUAAUAUGUAUUUUAGUAAUAAAGAUGGUCUCUCUAUUUGCAUAGAAAAUUUCUGCCUCCAGAAUUCAAUGUCACUUUUUCAGGAAACUGAUGUAAUUGAUGAUCUUUGUCAGUGUUCUCACAUACAUGGAUGUUAAGUCCCCAGAGGCUUUACUCUCCCUUUCUCUCUGGAGUGGUGCGUUCUAUUUUCAAAUGGAAAGAUGAACCACUUCCCCAUCCUACCCUACACCUGCCAUCCACUCUUCCCAUACUGUUCACACCCUACUAAGAUUAUUCCCCAUCCUCACUUGUUGACCAAGUUUACCCAAAUGACUUAAAUACUUGUACUUUUUAAAGUAUAGUCUUUGGGCAGAAAAGGAGAUGAGGGAACAGAAAGAAUAUUUUCUCUUUAAUCUUAAGGGUUUUUAAGACCCAAUAGUUUGAUUUUUCUUAUAGAUUAGCAGGGAAAAAGUCUUAUCCUUCACUGUCCCCCUCUGCUCUUCUCAAAACAGAUCUACAUAAACAAAACAAAACAAAUAGUAAAGUCAGGAGAAUUGUCUCUGGCUCUCCUCUCAUCCUAGUUAUCUUUCUUCCACUUUAGCAACUCCCUUCUCAUCUCACCUAUAUUCCUAAUGCUUUCAGUAUCUUCUGCAAUAACCAAGUUUUUAUGAAUUACACAUUUUGACUGCUACAGAAAAAUGUUCCUAGGAAGUGGUAAAGGCUUUCCUAAGGAGAAAUUUCUGAUGUUUUGGUAGACUUGAAAAAAAUAAUGGGAUAUAAAUAUGGGAUUUGACCCACACAUCAAAUGUCCUCAAAUAAUGUACAUCCCUCCUACAUGCCUUCUUGAAGCCACCUCACAAGUAAUUUUACUGCCUUCACUGUACCUUAUUUUGAGAGGGAAGAAGUGAGAGAUAAACUCUCAGGUAAAUGUGGCUCUUUCAACUUAUUUACUCCUCAAUAAUUAAAGGAUGUGAUGAGUGUUUGAGAGGCAGGCAGUGAGCUGUAUCUUUUUUGAACUUCACAGAUAAUUUCUUCAGCAGAACUUCCUCAGACUUAAACACUUACUUGAUUUUUCCAAGACCUUAUUUCUUCUUCUAUUUUCUGUUGACUAAGUUCUCUUCAUCUAACUACUUACUGAACAUCUGCUUAUUCAUCUAUAGGCAUAGUCCUUAUUUAAGGCCUUACAUUUUCCUUCUUGGAUCUCUUCAAGGAAUAAUAGAGUAACUGUUCAUUGGUGGGAAGUGGGCUGUAAUUAGGCCUAUCAAUCUGACCCCAAUAUCUUCCUUUUUACAGGAGCUUCAGAAGCAGAGCUGAGAGGCAGAUCUAGGAUCUUUGUUCUUCAAGUUUGAUUCUGUCCCACAAUAGAAAGAUGUUUUUCAGCCUUUCCUAAAUAAUGUUGAAUAUUCACAACUUGAACAAAGACCAGGAUCAUUUAUACUUUUUAAAAUGCCAAUCUAA
This is an RNA transcript of Aethalodelphis obliquidens (Pacific white-sided dolphin), 3742 nucleotides long. It is a transcript of the gene named G protein-coupled receptor 174, with no coding region annotated. The transcript has 2 exons. Lineage: Eukaryota; Metazoa; Chordata; Mammalia; Artiodactyla; Delphinidae. The record is from RefSeq and is a predicted model, not a curated record.